Molecule: long non-coding RNA, 1629 nt
Organism: Aethalodelphis obliquidens (Pacific white-sided dolphin)
Lineage: Eukaryota; Metazoa; Chordata; Mammalia; Artiodactyla; Delphinidae
Exons: 4
Source: RefSeq, a predicted model, not a curated record
CUGCUUCAGGUCACACGGACUGAGACAGGGCCUGCUUGGGGCCCCAAACUCCCCACCCUCCUUGGGAGCCCUUGGGGCCAGAACCAAGGCGUCCUCACUGGGAUGUCUGAUCUGAUGAAACUUUCAGGAAAUACACCCUGCUUUGGGACCCGCACCUCUGGGCGCAGAGCAGAACCAGACCCAGAGAUGGGAAGGGAUUUCUCACUCUGACUUUCCCCGGCAUGACAAGCCUGAGAUAGUUUGGUGAGCACACGUUGUCACACCUGUGCGUGGAGGAGGUCUGCAAGCAACACAGUGUGAAAGUAAGAAAUUAACAUGCAUAACUGCACAUCUAACACACUGCACAGAGGAAGGAAUUACUUUCCAGUUGUUUCCCUAUCACCGUGAUAGCAGGUUACAGGCGCUGUAGCCUGGACUUGGAAGUGAGUCUCCCUGGGCUCUGUUCACAGCCCUGCUGUACCCCUCCAGAACUCUGUCACAUUGAGCCCCUCAUGAAACAUCAGAACCUCGGUUUCUUCAGCUUCAAAAUGCAGAGGAGUGAUCAUCUGGCAGGACAGAGAGGCAGCCAAGCACAGGGUGAGGUCUGGGCCCUGGACUGUUGCUACUGGCCUUACUGCUUCAUGCUAUGCGGCUGGGCAGGUGACUCAACUGCUCAGGGGUCAGCUUCCUCCCCCGCAGAGUUUUGGGAGGAUGAAAAGAGUGAGCCUGGGUAAAGUACUCAGUGUCUGGCGACCCCUACUCUGUAUAAACGGCCGCUGUUGGGAGAAUGAAUGAGAUCCUUGUGUAAAGGGCCUUGCAUGGUGGUGGCACCCAGGUCACACUCUCUUGGAGACAGUUGUACCACUGUCAGCAUCACAUUCAGUGAGAAGUGGAAGGUUUCCCAUUUUUACCCGAUUUUUCUGACGGAUCUAGAACUGAUUUCCAUGAACUGAAUGGGCUGCCCUGGAAAAGGCAGGGAAGGAAGAGAAUCAGGACCUUGGAUUGGGGGCAGGGUUUGGCUCAAGACUAAGAAACUAAACUGAGUCUUGCUGUGUCAUUUUGUAUAUGUGUGUACACUUAUACAAAAGGGACACAUUUUAGAAGGGACACUUAUUAGAAAACUUCCUCUGGGGAUGAGAUGGCGGUGGGGCAGAGAGACACGGUCAUUUCACAGAAGGUUACAGUAAACAAGAAUGACUGCUUCUGCUACAAAAACACUGAGAUUUUUGGUAAACUGAGCCUUUGAGAAUUUUCUGCAUUGUACUGUGCUGAAGUGCAGAAACAUCUGGAUUGACUGAAACAAGCAGCUGACUGAGGUUUUAGAAGGCAGUAUCUCCUACAAGUUCAACCCCAGACUCCACAGUUCACAUUCUGAGCACGUUCACAUCCGCAGGCCUGACUGCAAUUCCAGUCCAGGCUGAGGAGUUUGGAAACAACCUCCCUGUGGAUCGGGAACUGGAAGGAGGAGAGAGAGGCUGUGCACCUGUGCUGCUGGGAACCUCCUCUCCUGCGGCUUCUGUUUUCCAGCACAGCCUGGUGAAGAGGGUCUGGGCAAGAUUCUGUCUGAGCAGAACACAGGGUGGUCUGCAGUGAGCAGACGGAAGACUUACGUCUGCACGUUCAGGGCUGGGGUUGGGGGCCGACUGUGGU